UGGGUUCUCUGCCUUUGCCAAGACAUUGGCUGGAGGAACGAGAGGCUCUGACUGCGCGAACAGAAUUCGGAACUCCUCAUCGAAGCUGGCCACCAGCUCGCCCUGGAAGAUGUGUGCAAUGCUCCUGUGAAUCUUCUCAAAAGACCACAUAAAACUGUAGUUGCCACUCAGCACCACCAUGCAGUCCACCAAGAGGAAUUUCUCUUUCACGUGUCCUUUG
Molecule: long non-coding RNA, 220 nt
Filed under: Gallus gallus (chicken)
Lineage: Eukaryota; Metazoa; Chordata; Aves; Galliformes; Phasianidae
Source: RNAcentral